RNAcentral lists this ribosomal RNA (305 nucleotides) under uncultured bacterium. RNAcentral describes it as "bacterial SSU rRNA". It matches the Rfam family "Bacterial small subunit ribosomal RNA", at positions 337 to 635 of the family's 1533-position model. The record is from RNAcentral.
CCCUACGGGGCGCAGCAGUAGGGAGUUUUCGUCAAUGGGCGCAAGCCUGAACGAGCAAUGCCGCGUGAACGAGGAAGGUCUUCGGAUCGUAAAGUUCUGUUGAAGGGGAAAAAGAGCGGAGAGAGGAAAUGCUUUCUGAUUGAUAUUACCCUUCGAGGAAGUCACGGCUAACUACGUGCCAGCAGCCGCGGUAAUACGUAGGUGGCGAGCGUUAUCCGGAAUGAUUGGGCGUAAAGGGUGCGUAGGCGGCCUGCUAAGUCUGGAGUGAAAGGUACCGGCUCAACCGGUACAGGCUCUGGAAACUG